UACGGGGGGGGCAAGCGUUGUUCGGAAUCACUGGGCGUAAAGAGCUCGUAGGCGGUUAAUUAAGUCAUAUGUGAAAGUCCAGGGCUCAACCCUGGGAUGCGGGUGGAUACUGCCGGGCUCGAGUCCGGAAGAGGCGAGUGGAAUUCCCGGUGUAGCGGUGAAAUGCGCAGAUAUCGGGAGGAACACCAAUGGCGAAGGCAGCUCGCUGGGACGUGACUGACGCUGAGACGCGAAAGCGUGGGGAGCAAACAGG
RNAcentral lists this ribosomal RNA (253 nucleotides) under uncultured bacterium. RNAcentral describes it as "partial 16S ribosomal RNA". It matches the Rfam family "Bacterial small subunit ribosomal RNA", at positions 524 to 776 of the family's 1533-position model. The record is from RNAcentral.